AUUGAACGCUGGCGGCAGGCCUAACACAUGCAAGUCGAACGGUAGCACAGAGAGCUUGCUCUCGGGUGACGAGUGGCGGACGGGUGAGUAAUGUCUGGGAAACUGCCCGAUGGAGGGGGAUAACUACUGGAAACGGUAGCUAAUACCGCAUAACGUCGCAAGACCAAAGUGGGGGACCUUCGGGCCUCACACCAUCGGAAGUGCCCAGAUGGGAUUAGCUAGUGGGUGGGGUAAUGGCUCACCUAGGCGACGAUCCCUAGCUGGUCUGAGAGGAUGACCAGCCACACUGGAACUGAGACACGGGCCAGACUCCUACGGGAGGCAGCAGUGGGGAAUAUUGCACAAUGGGCGCAAGCCUGAUGCAGCCAUGCCGCGUGUAUGAAGAAGGCCUUCGGGUUGUAAAGUACUUUCAGCGGGGAGGAAGGCGGUGAAGUUAAUAACUUCACCGAUUGACGUUACCCGCAGAAGAAGCACCGGCUAACUCCGUGCCAGCCGCCGCGGUAA
RNAcentral lists this ribosomal RNA (504 nucleotides) under uncultured bacterium. RNAcentral describes it as "partial 16S ribosomal RNA". It matches the Rfam family "Bacterial small subunit ribosomal RNA", at positions 29 to 523 of the family's 1533-position model. The record is from RNAcentral.